CGUAGGGUGCGAGCGUUAAUCGGAAUUACUGGGCGUAAAGCGUGCGCAGGCGGUUUUGUAAGACAGGCGUGAAAUCCCCGGGCUCAACCUGGGAACUGCGCUUGUGACUGCAAGGCUAGAGUACGGCAGAGGGGGGUGGAAUUCCACGUGUAGCAGUGAAAUGCGUAGAGAUGUGGAGGAACACCAAUGGCGAAGGCAGCCCCCUGGGUCGAUACUGACGCUCAUGCACGAAAGCGUGGGUAGCAAACAGGAUUAGAUACCCUGGUAGUCCACGCCCUAAACGAUGUCAACUAGGUGUUGGGUGGGUAAAACCAUUUAGUACCGGAGCUAACGCGUGAAGUUGACCGCCUGGGGAUACGGCCGCAAGGUUA
This 371-nucleotide ribosomal RNA is filed under the name uncultured organism. RNAcentral describes it as "bacterial SSU rRNA". It matches the Rfam family "Bacterial small subunit ribosomal RNA", at positions 526 to 896 of the family's 1533-position model. The record is from RNAcentral.